GUAUUGUAAUGUACUGUAUUGUAAUGUGUUAUAAUGUAAUGUAUUAUAAUGUAAUGUAUUGUAUUGUAAUGUACUGUAUUGUAAUGUGUUAUAAUGUAUUGUAUUGUAACAUAUUGUAUUGUAAUGUAUUAUAAUGUAAUGUAUUGUAUUGUAAUGUACUGUAUUGUAAUGUGUUAUAAUGUAUUGUAAUGUACUGUAUUGUAAUGUGUUAUAAUGUAUUGUAAUGUGUUAUAAUGUAUUGUAAUGUAUUGUAUUGUAAUGUACUGUAUUGUAUUGUAACAUAUUGUAUUGUAAUGUAUUAUAAUGUAUUGUAAUGUACUCUAUUGUAAUGUAUUAUAAUGUAAUGUAUUGUAUUGUAAUGUACUGUAUUGUAAUGUAUUGUAUUGUAACAUAUUGUAUUGUAAUGUAUUAUAAUGUAAUGUAUUGUAUUGUAAUGUAUUAUAAUGUAAUGUAUUGUAUUGUAAUGUACUGUAUUGUAAUGUAUUGUAAUGUAUUGUAAUGUAUUGUAAUGUACUGUAUUGUAAUGUAUUGUAUUGUAAUGUAUUGUAUUGUAACAUAUUGUAUUGUAAUGUAUUAUAAUGUAAUGUAUUGUAUUGUAAUGUACUGUAUUGUAAUGUAUUAUAAUGUAAUGUAUUGUAUUGUAAUGUACUGUAUUGUAAUGUAAUGUAUUGUAUUGUAAUGUAUUGUAUUGUAAUGUAUUAUAAUGUAAUGUAUUGUAUUGUAAUGUACUGUAUUGUAAUGUAUUGUAUUGUAAUGUACUGUAUUGUAAUGUAUUGUAUUGUAAUGUACUGUAUUGUAAUGUAUUGUAUUGUAAUGUACUGUAUUGUAAUGUAUUAUAAUGUAAUGUAUUGUAUUGUAAUGUACUGUAUUGUAAUGUAAUGUAUUGUAUUGUAAUGUAUUGUAUUGUAAUGUAUUAUAAUGUAAUGUAUUGUAUUGUAAUGUACUGUAUUGUAAUGUAUUGUAUUGUAAUGUACUGUAUUGUAAUGUGUAGGGAAUUUGGUGAUGUCUGUGGAUUUGGUUGCCUUCAUGUUACUAAAAGUCUUCAUUACAAAUGGCACCCUAUUCCCCACAUAGUGCGCUACAUCCAUAUGACACACACACACACACACUACCUUUACACUAUAUAGGGAAUAGGGGUUGUAUUUGUGUGUGUGUGUGUGUGUGUGUGACAGAGAGAGAGAGAGAGAGAGAGGUUAAUAUGCACAGCAGUUAUUGUUGAUUGACAGAUUUCUGAAUCAUGAGUAGGACCGUGUCAAACAGAGUGUGUUCUGGUCUAUAGUGUGUGAGGUAUUACAGAACAGAGUGUGUUCUGGUCUAUAGUGUGUGAGGUAUUACAGAACAGAGUGUGUUCUGGUCUAUAGUGUGUGAAGUAUUACAGAACAGAGUGUGUUCUGGUCUAUAGUGUGUGAGGUAUUACAGAACAGAGUGUGUUCUGGUCUAUAGUGUGUGAGGUAUUACAGAACAGAGUGUGUUCUGGUCUAUAGUGUGUGAAGUAUUACAGAACAGAGUGUGUUCUGGUCUAUAGUGUGUGAAGUAUUACAGAACAGAGUGUGUUCUGGUCUAUAGUGUGUGAGGUAUUACAGAACAGAGUGUGUUCUGGUCUAUAGUGUGUGAAGUAUUACAGAACAGAGUGUGUUCUGGUCUAUAGUGUGUGAAGUAUUACAGAACAGAGUGUGUUCUGGUCUAUAGUGUGUGAAGUAUUACAGAACAGAGUGUGUUCUGGUCUAUAGUGUGUGAAGUAUUACAGAACAGAGUGUGUUCUGGUCUAUAGUGUGUGAAGUAUUACAGAACAGAGUGUGUUCUGGUCUAUAGUGUGUGAAGUAUUACAGAACAGAGUGUGUUCUGGUCUAUAGUGUGUGAAGUAUUACAGAACAGAGUGUGUUCUGGUCUAUAGUGUGUGAAGUAUUACAGAACAGAGUGUGUUCUGGUCUAUAGUGUGUGAAGUAUUACAGAACAGAGUGUGUUCUGGUCUAUAGUGUGUGAAGUAUUACAGAACAGAGUGUGUUCUGGUCUAUAGUGUGUGAAGUAUUACAGAACAGAGUGUGUUCUGGUCUAUAGUGUGUGAGGUAUUACAGAACAGAGAGAACAGCAGAGAGGGGAAAUAAAUUAAAGGCAGAUGUACUGGUAUAUAAUGUGACAGUGCAUCGGGAUCUGAAACUGUAUUUCAGCGUGACAUGCUGGAAUGUGGAGUACAAUUUAGCAAAAAUAUGUGGAUUACAAUUUAGCAUUUUGUGUCACUGAAUGUGACAUAUCAUGAUUCUCUUAAAGAUAGAAUCCUUAUUUGCUACAUACUUUGUUGGACUUAUUAAUGAUAUGUACCCAUUGAUUCUAGAAGAAUCACUUCUAAAUGUCUCGUGAGUUUAGUUCAACUGUCGUACCCCAUCAGUACCCAACAUAUAAGCUUGUUUAAUAUUGUUUAUUUACUCCGAUGUUUGUAAACAACGGAAAUGUAAACAAACA
Oncorhynchus keta (chum salmon) is the source of this 2460-nucleotide long non-coding RNA. RefSeq lists it as uncharacterized. Lineage: Eukaryota; Metazoa; Chordata; Actinopteri; Salmoniformes; Salmonidae. The record is from RefSeq and is a predicted model, not a curated record. The transcript has 3 exons.